This 64-nucleotide transfer RNA is filed under the name Habropoda radoszkowskii. RNAcentral's name for it is "tRNA-His". Lineage: Eukaryota; Metazoa; Arthropoda; Insecta; Hymenoptera; Apidae. The record is from RNAcentral.
AUUUAAAUAGUUUAAACAAAACAUUGAUCUGUGGAGCCAAAAAUGUAAUACUUUACUUUAAAUU